UGGCUCAGAACGAACGCUGGCGGCAGGCUUAACACAUGCAAGUCGAACGCCCCGCAAGGGGAGUGGCAGACGGGUGAGUAACACGUGGGAACAUGCCCAAAGGUACGGAACAACUCCGGGAAACUGGAGCUAAUACCGUAUGUGUCCGUAAGGAGAAAGAUUUAUCGCCUUUGGAUUGGCCCGCGUCGGAUUAGCUAGUUGGUGGGGUAAAAGCCUACCAAGGCGACGAUCCGUAGCUGGUCUGAGAGGAUGAUCAGCCACACUGGGACUGAGACACGGCCCAGACUCCUACGGGAGGCAGCAGUGGG
RNAcentral lists this ribosomal RNA (308 nucleotides) under uncultured bacterium. Its description in RNAcentral is "bacterial SSU rRNA". It matches the Rfam family "Bacterial small subunit ribosomal RNA", at positions 20 to 358 of the family's 1533-position model. The record is from RNAcentral.